UGGUCGCACCAUCGGACCUCUUGCAAUCCUGUUAAUGCUCAGUAUGUCCAUUGCAACUGAGAUGCUGGGGCCAGAAGCACUGCAUAAGAAGACGCAGUCACUAGCUGCGACACCUCCCAAAACAGUUGUGACUCUUCUGCAUUUUAGACAUCACUCUCCCUGUUAUCUUCUAAAAUAGUCAGUGGCUAUUAAUCCAACUGCUACUAAACAGCACUGCACAGGACCUUUGCAGUGCAUGCACAGUGCAGCAAGACACGUGAUCCAGACUCCACACAAGACUCCAAGUGCCAGUCAUACGGCUCUCCCUGUGCUUUUAUUGGGACCCAAUUUACCCUUUUAAACUGCCCUGUUACCCGUGUAUGAAAUUAUGUCACCCCUCAUGACAGUUUUAGCCGCCUGCCAGAACAAGGAGGGGUUGGAGAUCGCCUGAGACUGGUUGUUGGAAAGAAAUUCAGCAAAAAUUAUUGCAACUGUUGAACUAUGAUAGAAAAACGGUUUUGACUUCGCCUUCCUUUGCCACACGGAAAUUCUGCCUCAAAUGGAGCCCUUUCCUGGAUACUUUACCCCCCUCUACCAAACAACAUAUUUUGAAAACUCUAGAUUGCUCCUUGUCCUCCUAUGGAUCAUAUACAAAUGUUUAAAUAGCCUCACUGUUUUCUUUUAGAGUAUGUAUCUGCCUUUCUCCUCUAUCUGGCACUCUACAUGGUUAUAAUGAGUGUUAUGGGCUGGCCCUCACACUCAUCUUCAUCCCAUCACUUCCCUCCCCCCUCUUCCCUCGUGUGUUCCACCCCCACAAAUACUUUUAUAUUUUAUUUCUUAUUUCUUGUUUUUUCUGUCUCUUUGAUCUUCUCUCUUUUUUAGUAUCAGUUAAUACUGUAUGGAAAUGCUGAUGCAUUAUGCGGUUAUAUACGGUUUACCACCCCUUUUUAGUCAUGGGGUGUGAUUGGUUAGAUUUCGGUAGCAACCGGUUACAAUUGAUGCGGUUUCAUACCUCUAGUUUUUCCAGUUGCAUUAUGGCUCGGUGUAUGUAAAAAGCUUCUUUAUAUACGACGAUGUUUUCACAUCAGGCCGAUUUACACUAGGAUACCUCUGUUUGUAUAUUAUGUUCUGUAUU
Pseudophryne corroboree (corroboree frog) is the source of this 1114-nucleotide long non-coding RNA. RefSeq lists it as uncharacterized. The transcript has 3 exons. The record is from RefSeq and is a predicted model, not a curated record. Lineage: Eukaryota; Metazoa; Chordata; Amphibia; Anura; Myobatrachidae.